Molecule: long non-coding RNA, 158 nt
Organism: Syngnathus acus (greater pipefish)
Lineage: Eukaryota; Metazoa; Chordata; Actinopteri; Syngnathiformes; Syngnathidae
Exons: 3
Source: RefSeq, a predicted model, not a curated record
CUCCCAUCUGUGCACAAUCACAAUUUCUCAUGCAAAGUUGUCCAGUCCAAUUCUUUGAGUAAAUCCAAGUUAAUCCAGGCCAGCGAUCUUGCGUCUCACACAAGGCUCUUGAAGGCUGUAGAAAAAGUCUUGAAACUCAUACGGGCUUCUUCACGUAU